UACCAGCCCCCCGAGUGGUCGGGACGAUUAUUGGGCCUAAAGCAUCCGUAGCCGGUUUUACAAGUCCCCCGUUAAAUCCAGCUGCUUAACAGAUGGGCUGCGGAGGAUACUAUAAGACUAGGAGGCAGGAGAGGCAAGCGGUACUCAGUGGGUAGGGGUAAAAUCCGUUGAUCCAUUGAAGACCACCAGUGGCGAAGGCGGCUUGCCAGAAUGCGCUCGACGGUGAGGGAUGAAAGCUGGGGGAGCAAACCGG
RNAcentral lists this ribosomal RNA (253 nucleotides) under uncultured bacterium. Its description in RNAcentral is "partial 16S ribosomal RNA". It matches the Rfam family "Archaeal small subunit ribosomal RNA", at positions 474 to 727 of the family's 1478-position model. The record is from RNAcentral.